GGGUUGUGAGGUUAAGCGACUAAGCGUACACGGUGGAUGCCCUGGCAGUCAGAGGCGAUGAAGGACGUGCUAAUCUGCGAUAAGCGUCGGUAAGGUGAUAUGAACCGUUAUAACCGGCGAUUUCCGAAUGGGGAAACCCAGUGUGUUUCGACACACUAUCAUUAACUGAAUCCAUAGGUUAAUGAGGCGAACCGGGGGAACUGAAACAUCUAAGUACCCCGAGGAAAAGAAAUCAACCGAGAUUCCCCCAGUAGCGGCGAGCGAACGGGGAGCAGCCCAGAGCCUGAAUCAGUGUGUGUGUUAGUGGAAGCGUCUGGAAAGGCGCGCGAUACAGGGUGACAGCCCCGUACACAAAAAUGCACAUGCUGUGAGCUCGAUGAGUAGGGCGGGACACGUGGUAUCCUGUCUGAAUAUGGGGGGACCAUCCUCCAAGGCUAAAUACUCCUGACUGACCGAUAGUGAACCAGUACCGUGAGGGAAAGGCGAAAAGAACCCCGGCGAGGGGAGUGAAAAAGAACCUGAAACCGUGUACGUACAAGCAGUGGGAGCACGCUUCGGCGUGUGACUGCGUACCUUUUGUAUAAUGGGUCAGCGACUUAUAUUCUGUAGCAAGGUUAACCGAAUAGGGGAGCCGAAGGGAAACCGAGUCUUAACUGGGCGUUAAGUUGCAGGGUAUAGACCCGAAACCCGGUGAUCUAGCCAUGGGCAGGUUGAAGGUUGGGUAACACUAACUGGAGGACCGAACCGACUAAUGUUGAAAAAUUAGCGGAUGACUUGUGGCUGGGGGUGAAAGGCCAAUCAAACCGGGAGAUAGCUGGUUCUCCCCGAAAGCUAUUUAGGUAGCGCCUCGUGAAUUCAUCUCCGGGGGUAGAGCACUGUUUCGGCAAGGGGGUCAUCCCGACUUACCAACCCGAUGCAAACUGCGAAUACCGGAGAAUGUUAUCACGGGAGACACACGGCGGGUGCUAACGUCCGUCGUGAAGAGGGAAACAACCCAGACCGCCAGCUAAGGUCCCAAAGUCAUGGUUAAGUGGGAAACGAUGUGGGAAGGCCCAGACAGCCAGGAUGUUGGCUUAGAAGCAGCCAUCAUUUAAAGAAAGCGUAAUAGCUCACUGGUCGAGUCGGCCUGCGCGGAAGAUGUAACGGGGCUAAACCAUGCACCGAAGCUGCGGCAGCGACGCUGAUGCGUUGUUGGGUAGGGGAGCGUUCUGUAAGCCUGUGAAGGUGUGCUGUGAGGCAUGCUGGAGGUAUCAGAAGUGCGAAUGCUGACAUAAGUAACGAUAAAGCGGGUGAAAAGCCCGCUCGCCGGAAGACCAAGGGUUCCUGUCCAACGUUAAUCGGGGCAGGGUGAGUCGACCCCUAAGGCGAGGCCGAAAGGCGUAGUCGAUGGGAAACAGGUUAAUAUUCCUGUACUUGGUGUUACUGCGAAGGGGGGACGGAGAAGGCUAUGUUGGCCGGGCGACGGUUGUCCCGGUUUAAGCGUGUAGGCUGGUUUUCCAGGCAAAUCCGGAAAAUCAAGGCUGAGGCGUGAUGACGAGGCACUACGGUGCUGAAGCAACAAAUGCCCUGCUUCCAGGAAAAGCCUCUAAGCAUCAGGUAACAUCAAAUCGUACCCCAAACCGACACAGGUGGUCAGGUAGAGAAUACCAAGGCGCUUGAGAGAACUCGGGUGAAGGAACUAGGCAAAAUGGUGCCGUAACUUCGGGAGAAGGCACGCUGAUAUGUAGGUGAAGUCCCUCGCGGAUGGAGCUGAAAUCAGUCGAAGAUACCAGCUGGCUGCAACUGUUUAUUAAAAACACAGCACUGUGCAAACACGAAAGUGGACGUAUACGGUGUGACGCCUGCCCGGUGCCGGAAGGUUAAUUGAUGGGGUCAGCGCAAGCGAAGCUCUUGAUCGAAGCCCCGGUAAACGGCGGCCGUAACUAUAACGGUCCUAAGGUAGCGAAAUUCCUUGUCGGGUAAGUUCCGACCUGCACGAAUGGCGUAAUGAUGGCCAGGCUGUCUCCACCCGAGACUCAGUGAAAUUGAACUCGCUGUGAAGAUGCAGUGUACCCGCGGCAAGACGGAAAGACCCCGUGAACCUUUACUAUAGCUUGACACUGAACAUUGAGCCUUGAUGUGUAGGAUAGGUGGGAGGCUUUGAAGUGUGGACGCCAGUCUGCAUGGAGCCGACCUUGAAAUACCACCCUUUAAUGUUUGAUGUUCUAACGUUGACCCGUAAUCCGGGUUGCGGACAGUGUCUGGUGGGUAGUUUGACUGGGGCGGUCUCCUCCUAAAGAGUAACGGAGGAGCACGAAGGUUGGCUAAUCCUGGUCGGACAUCAGGAGGUUAGUGCAAUGGCAUAAGCCAGCUUGACUGCGAGCGUGACGGCGCGAGCAGGUGCGAAAGCAGGUCAUAGUGAUCCGGUGGUUCUGAAUGGAAGGGCCAUCGCUCAACGGAUAAAAGGUACUCCGGGGAUAACAGGCUGAUACCGCCCAAGAGUUCAUAUCGACGGCGGUGUUUGGCACCUCGAUGUCGGCUCAUCACAUCCUGGGGCUGAAGUAGGUCCCAAGGGUAUGGCUGUUCGCCAUUUAAAGUGGUACGCGAGCUGGGUUUAGAACGUCGUGAGACAGUUCGGUCCCUAUCUGCCGUGGGCGCUGGAGAACUGAGGGGGGCUGCUCCUAGUACGAGAGGACCGGAGUGGACGCAUCACUGGUGUUCGGGUUGUCAUGCCAAUGGCACUGCCCGGUAGCUAAAUGCGGAAGAGAUAAGUGCUGAAAGCAUCUAAGCACGAAACUUGCCCCGAGAUGAGUUCUCCCUGACCCUUUAAGGGUCCUGAAGGAACGUUGAAGACGACGACGUUGAUAGGCCGGGUGUGUAAGCGCAGCGAUGCGUUGAGCUAACCGGUACUAAUGAACCGUGAGGCUUAACCUUACAACGCCGAAGGUGUUU
Molecule: ribosomal RNA, 2931 nt
Filed under: Escherichia coli
Lineage: Bacteria; Pseudomonadati; Pseudomonadota; Gammaproteobacteria; Enterobacterales; Enterobacteriaceae
Description: 23S ribosomal RNA
Rfam family: Bacterial large subunit ribosomal RNA
Source: RNAcentral